AGAGCGAACGCUGGCGGCAGGCCUAACACAUGCAAGUCGAGCGCCCGUAGCAAUACGGGAGCGGCAGACGGGUGAGUAACACGUGGGAACGUGCCCUUUGGUUCGGAAUAACUCAGGGAAACUUGAGCUAAUACCGGAUAAGCCCUUACGGGGGAAAGAUUUAUUGCCGAAGGAGCGGCCCGCGUCCGAUUAGCUAGUUGGCGGUGUAAUGGACCACCAAGGCUACGAUCGGUAGCUGGUCUGAGAGGAUGACCAGCCACACUGGGACUGAGACACGGCCCAGACUCCUACGGGAGGCAGCAGUGGGGAAUAUUGGACAAUGGGGCAACCCUGAUCCAGCCAUGCCGCGUGGGUGAUGAAGGCCUUAGGGUUGUAAAGCCCGUUUCGGCGGGGAAGAUAAUGACGGUACCGCAGAAGAAGCCCGGCUAACUUCGUGCCAGCAGCCGC
This 447-nucleotide ribosomal RNA is filed under the name uncultured bacterium. RNAcentral's name for it is "SSU rRNA". It matches the Rfam family "Bacterial small subunit ribosomal RNA", at positions 26 to 518 of the family's 1533-position model. The record is from RNAcentral.